UAAGGCGUUUGAGAGAAGAAGAAG
This 24-nucleotide small RNA is filed under the name Arabidopsis thaliana (thale cress). RNAcentral describes it as "ATSL249520". The record is from RNAcentral. Lineage: Eukaryota; Viridiplantae; Streptophyta; Magnoliopsida; Brassicales; Brassicaceae.